GGGCUGGGGCUCAGUGGCAGAGCUCUUGCGUAGCAUGCAUGGGGUGCUGGGUUCAAUCCUCAGCACCACA
Molecule: transfer RNA, 70 nt
Filed under: Marmota monax (woodchuck)
Lineage: Eukaryota; Metazoa; Chordata; Mammalia; Rodentia; Sciuridae
Description: tRNA.Ala
Source: RNAcentral